GAGUAAAGAUUUCGGUCGCUUUGGGAGGAGCUCGCUUACUAUCAGCUUGUUGGUAGGGUAAUGGCCUACCAAGGCUAUGACGGUUAGGGGGUGUGAGAGCAUGACCCCCAGCAUUGGCACUGAAACACUGGCCAAACACCUACGGGUGGCUGCAGUCGAGAAUCUUCCACAAUGGGGGAAACCCUGAUGGAGCGAUGCUGCGUGCGGGAUGAAGGCCUUCGGGUUGUAAACCGCUUUUGUAGGGGACGAAAUUUUUGACGGUACCCUUUCGAAUAAGAGGUUGCUAACUCUGUGCCAGCAGCAGCGGUAAUACAGAGACCUCAAGCGUUAUCCGGAUUUACUGGGCGUAAAGCGUCUGUAGGGGGUUUAUUAAGUUCCAAGUAAAAUUUCAAGGCUCAACUUUGAAUUCGCUUGGAAAACUAAUAAACUGGAGUCUAGCAGGGGUGCAUGGAACUUGUGGUGUAGGAGUGAAAUCCGUUGAUAUCACAAGGAACACCAAAGGCGAAGGCAUUGCACUGGGCUAGCACUGACCCUGAGAGACGAAAGCGUGGGGAGCAAAACGGAUUAGAUACCCGUGUAGUCCACGCCCUAAACGAUGAAUGCUAAAUGUUCGGGGAUUCGACCCCCUGGGUGUUACAGCUAACGCGUUAAGCAUUCCGCCUGGGAAGUACGGCCGCAAGGCUAAAACUCAAAGGAAUAGACGGGGAUCCGCACAAGCGGUGGAGCGUCUGGUUUAAUUCGACAGUAAGCGUGGUACCUCACCAGGGUUUGACAUCCCUUGACAGCCUUGGAAACAAGGUUUCCUUCGGGCAAGGUGACAGGUGCUGCAUGGUCGUCGUCAGUUCGUGCCGUGAGGUGUUCCGUUAAGUCGGGAAACGAACGAAACCCCUAUUGCAUGUUACAAUUUCUCAUGCAAGACUGCCCGGAUAUACUGGGAGGAAGGUGGGGAUGACGUCAGAUCUGCAUGGUCCUUAUACCCUGGGCGACACAGGCGCUACAAUGGCAGAGACAAAGGGUUGCAAAACCGCAAGGUGAAGCUAAUCCCAAAAACUUUGUCUAAGUUCGGAUUGAAGGCUGCAAUUCGCCUUCAUGAAGCUGGAAUCGCUAGUAAUCGUGAAUCAGCCACGUCACGGUGAAUAUGUUCCCGGAUCUUGUACUCACCGCCCGUCACACCAAGAGAGUUGGUAGCUCCCGAAG
Molecule: ribosomal RNA, 1197 nt
Filed under: uncultured organism
Description: bacterial SSU rRNA
Rfam family: Bacterial small subunit ribosomal RNA
Source: RNAcentral